This 497-nucleotide ribosomal RNA is filed under the name uncultured bacterium. RNAcentral describes it as "partial 16S ribosomal RNA". It matches the Rfam family "Bacterial small subunit ribosomal RNA", at positions 28 to 507 of the family's 1533-position model. The record is from RNAcentral.
GAUGAACGCUGGCGGCGUGCCUAAUACAUGCAAGUCGAGCGAACGGACGAGAAGCUUGCUUCUCUGAUGUUAGCGGCGGACGGGUGAGUAACACGUGGAUAACCUACCUAUAAGACUGGGAUAACUUCGGGAAACCGGAGCUAAUACCGGAUAAUAUUUUGAACCGCAUGGUUCAAAAGUGAAAGACGGUCUUGCUGUCACUUAUAGAUGGAUCCGCGCUGCAUUAGCUAGUUGGUAAGGUAACGGCUUACCAAGGCAACGAUACAUAGCCGACCUGAGAGGGUGAUCGGCCACACUGGAACUGAGACACGGUCCAGAUUCCUACGGGAGGCAGCAGUAGGGAAUCUUCCGCAAUGGGCGAAAGCCUGACGGAGCAACGCCGCGUGAGUGAUGAAGGUCUUCGGAUCGUAAAACUCUGUUAUUAGGGAAGAACAUAUGUGUAAGUAACUGUGCACAUCUUGACGGUACCUAAUCAGAAAGCCACGGCUAACUACGUG